This 253-nucleotide ribosomal RNA is filed under the name uncultured bacterium. RNAcentral's name for it is "partial 16S ribosomal RNA". It matches the Rfam family "Bacterial small subunit ribosomal RNA", at positions 524 to 776 of the family's 1533-position model. The record is from RNAcentral.
UACAGAGGUGGCGACCGUUGUUCGGAAUCACUGGGCAUAAAGCGCGUGUAGGCGGCAUUGUAAGUCGGGUGUGAAAUCCCUCGGCCUAACCGAGGAAUUGCGCCCGAAACUACUUUGCUUGAGGACGGGAGGGGAGCCUGGAAUUCCUGGUGGAGCGGUGAAAUGCGUUGAUAUCAGGAGGAACAUCGGCGGCGAAGGCGGGUUGCUGGGCCGACACUGACGCUGAUGCGCGAAAGCCAGGGGAGCGAACGGG